UCUUUAUUACUCUAUACUCUGCCUGGAGUACUUGAUAGAGGAGGUGAAUGCCUGAAUGGAGUACGUACGUGCCAUUCACGGUAGGUGGUGGUACUGCUGAAGUAACUGGCGUACUCCUACUGUACUGGGAGGCAGUCUUGCUUGCACACAUGAAGGAACUGAGCGCCGACUACACGCCGGAGUGGCAUCUGCGGAUAGAGCG
This 202-nucleotide long non-coding RNA is filed under the name Hordeum vulgare. Its description in RNAcentral is "long non-coding RNA (HVUL_LNC020352)". The record is from RNAcentral. Lineage: Eukaryota; Viridiplantae; Streptophyta; Magnoliopsida; Poales; Poaceae.